GAAACUGGUGCUAAUACCGGAUACACUUUUCUGCUGCGGGGCAGAAGAGGAAAGGUGGCCUCUUGGUCAAAGCUACCGUAUAGGGAUGAGCCUGCGUACCAUUAGCUAGUAGGUGGGGUAACGGCCCACCUAGGCCACGAUGGUUAGCGGGUCUGAGAGGAUGAUCCGCCACACUGGAACUGGAACACGGACCAGACUCCUACGGGAGGCAGCAGUGAGGAAUAUUGCGCAAUGGGGGAAACCCUGACGCAGCGACGCCGCGUGAGUGAGGAAGGUCUUCGGAUCGUAAAGCUCUGUCAGAAGGGAAGAAGUGUUAGAUGGUUAAUACCCAUGUAAUUUGACGGUACCUUCAGAGGAAGCACCGGUUAACUCCGUGCCAGCAGCCGCGGUAAUACGGAGGGUGCGAGCGUUGUUCGGAAUUACUGGGCGUAAAGGGCGCGUAGGCGGCCGGAUAUGUCAGAUGUGAAAGUCCACGGCUCAACUGUGGAAGUGCAUUUGAAACUGUCCGGCUUGAGUAUCGGAGGGGAGUGUGGAAUUCCCGGUGUAGAGGUGAAAUUCGUAGAGAUCGGGAGGAACACCGGUGGCGAAGGCGACACUCUGGACGAAUACUGACGCUGAGGCGCGAA
RNAcentral lists this ribosomal RNA (626 nucleotides) under uncultured bacterium. Its description in RNAcentral is "bacterial SSU rRNA". It matches the Rfam family "Bacterial small subunit ribosomal RNA", at positions 153 to 757 of the family's 1533-position model. The record is from RNAcentral.